AACGAACGCUGGCGGCAUGCCUAACACAUGCAAGUCGAACGAGACCUUCGGGCCUAGUGGCGCACGGGUGCGUAACGCGUGGGAACCUGCCCUUAGGUUCGGAAUAACUCCCCGAAAGGGGUGCUAAUACCGGAUAAUGUCUUCGGACCAAAGAUUUAUCGCCUUUGGAUGGGCCCGCGUUGGAUUAGCUAGUUGGUAGGGUAAAAGCCUAUCAAGGCGACGAUCCAUAGCUGGUCUGAGAGGAUGAUCAGCCACACUGGAGCUGAGACACGGCCCAGACUCCUACGGAAGGCAGCAGAGGGUAAUAUAGGACGAUGGGCGAAGGCCUGAUCCAGCAAUGCCGCGUAAGUGAUGAAGGCCUUAGGGUUGUAAAGCUCUUUUACACGGGAUGAUAAUGACGGUACCGGGAGAAUAAGCACCGGCUAACUCCGUG
Molecule: ribosomal RNA, 433 nt
Filed under: uncultured bacterium
Lineage: Bacteria
Description: partial 16S ribosomal RNA
Rfam family: Bacterial small subunit ribosomal RNA
Source: RNAcentral